CUCAGAAAUCUAUUUAGAAGCAAAAGAUCUCACUACACGCUGAUGAAGACUUCUGGAUGAGAGAGGAUUCAGACAUCAAAUCAGGCUGUGGUUGUUGGUAAAUCUUUCCGUUAUCCAAGGUCAUGGGAUCCGAUCCAAACUUGUAAAGAACUGUCCAACAAUAAUAAAGUUAAGUUUUAAUUUCAGCAAUCUUGAAAGGAUUGAAUCUAUUAAAGGAUGAUAAC
This 224-nucleotide long non-coding RNA is filed under the name Elaeis guineensis (African oil palm). Its description in RNAcentral is "long non-coding RNA (EGUI_LNC036814)". The record is from RNAcentral. Lineage: Eukaryota; Viridiplantae; Streptophyta; Magnoliopsida; Arecales; Arecaceae.